UUUUGCUUGGUUCAGUACCCGACUACAUAUCUAUGAAAAAGAUAUAGCCGGGUACUUUACCAGCACUGCAGCACCU
RNAcentral lists this microRNA precursor (76 nucleotides) under Haemonchus contortus (barber pole worm). Its description in RNAcentral is "microRNA hco-mir-5958 precursor". The record is from miRBase by way of RNAcentral. Lineage: Eukaryota; Metazoa; Nematoda; Chromadorea; Rhabditida; Trichostrongylidae.